Long non-coding RNA from Drosophila miranda, 4472 nucleotides. RefSeq lists it as uncharacterized. The record is from RefSeq and is a predicted model, not a curated record. The transcript is spliced from 6 exons. Lineage: Eukaryota; Metazoa; Arthropoda; Insecta; Diptera; Drosophilidae.
AAAUAUGUACUAAUUAAACAAUUAAUUAAUGUAGAAUUAAACACAUUCUAACAUACGAUAUUCGCAUCGCGCGCGCUUACGUUAACAUGCGAAUGGUCAAAGCACAGGUUGGACAAAGAACAGCUGAUUGAUUCCCUCGUAAAAAGUUGCUGGUGUAAAUUGUGUACUUAGUCGGAAAAAAUGAUCAAAAUUAACCAUACUGCCAAUAAGAACUACAUAUAUUCGAAAAGUAUAGGGGCGUAUUCGAUUUUUGGUGGAAGCGUAAAGGUACGAGAAAACCGAAAGCACAGCAUUCUAUAAAGUGACCGUGUCUAUCAGAUAUCCCAUGUGGUUCCAAUUGGACAAUAAUUAUAGCCAGAAGGAACAACAGAAAUUGAAGAGUCGUUUAUAUUAAUGGUAAAGUUUUUUUCGAACAAGAAGUUCCCCCGAGAAGUGCCGCGUUGCAGGAAGCGUCGAUUACACUCUUGGUAGAGUCUGCAAGGGGCACGCGUUGUGCACACAAGUAGGAUUUUCCAUUGAAUCAUUGCUUUUGGCUAUAGCUUCGAAGGUGCAACAGGAUGCUGAAGGCAACGAACGUCCGAUUCGACUUUGCACUCUCAUUGGAACAUUGAAACCACUUAGUGCUGCAGCUUUCGACUGUUACCAAUAGACUGCCAAAGUGGCGGCAGUGAUACGCUGUACGAGAAGAUCCCGAAAUCGAGGGAUACUUGAAGAGCUAAAGGUAUUUUGCAUAUUUGUAAUAUGCAUCUGCAUCGGAGGUACUUUCACAUGGUCCACAGACUGCAAGGUACAACCAUAUAUCCGCACUGUACUUUCCAUACUUGAGAUUGCGGCAAUUCAAUCGAAUAUUGAACCAGGGGAAAGGUGAAAAAUAAUGUGAAAUCAAUUCUCAUGGCUUGGCGACAUAUAAAAGGACCCGCCGACACUGCCAGUGAUUCCGGGAAAGUGACCAACUGCGGUCAGCGAUAGGCGGCUAAGCGCUGACGGUAGACGGUAUAUGGUGUACGGUUGAAAAGGAGCUCUCGUCUACUCUCGCCCACGUACAGAAAACACACUAAUGAAGUGCUCUGGAGGGACAUGGACACGGACACGGAUACCCCAGCCCCCGGGGCGUUGUCGGAUGCAUUUGGCAAAUAAAACACCUACCGACACACGAGACGACAAUAGCGAUAAGCUGAGAAAGGGAGACAGACACAGACACAGAGAUUGAGGACUCAGCGUGCCGUCCGGCAUCGUGACAAAGGACAACUGCAACUACACAGAGUCCAGGUUCGAGGCAAGUCCUUUUGCCAAAAAUAAAAAGUGCGCAGUGCCCAAACAGUAGGAGCUCUGUCCUGUCCUGGCCGGGACUCUUCGGUCUUGGAUACGACCAAGCUUGGACGCAGUUGGAAUUGGCUUGGACUAGCUGUCGCUAUCGCUGCAGGGCAAUUAGAACAUUAUCAGGCGGCAAUAAUCGGCUCGUUUGCACCCAAGUGUCAUCGCUCGACUCGGACUCGGACUGGGACUCAGACUCAGACUCGGACUCGGUCGCCCGCUCGCUGUCGUAAUAAUAAAAGGCAUGGCAUGGGCAUUGGCAAUCUCUGUCUGUCUCUGUCUGCAUUCUGCUCUCAAUAUCUUGUGGAGUAUGUUGGCUGGAAAAACAACAGGAUAUCUGUGUGUGUGUCUGUCCGGCAUUCGGCAGUCUAUCUGGGGAAUGUCUUUUGUUGUCCAGUAUACCAUUUCCAAAUGCAAUGCAAACCAGCAGUGAGGAGAGCAGUCGGCAGAGCAGAUAGGCAGGCGACAAUGUCGGCGGCGACAGUCGGGCAUCAAAGUCGAUUAUCACAGUUUUUGGGAUUUGCCUUAAAUCACGCACCAGUCAGCAGUCAGUAGACAGCAGCCAGCAGCCAGCAGUCAGAGAUCUUCGGGGCUACAGCUCAAUUAAAAUUCUUGGAAUACGCUCAACACUUUCCAAGACCCCUCCCUCCACCACUGUGUGCCCAUUGUCUGUGUGCUCGUCUGCACAAUAUUUUCGAGGCGGUUUUGUGGUUUUUGAUGUUCCUCUUCUGCGUUUCCCCCCGGGCCCUGCUAAUCUGCUAAAUUAAUGAUAAUGCGCGCUGCAAAGUCGUAAAUAUUGCAGCACCAUCAGCAGGAGAAUGCCGGAAUGGAUACUCGACUGACCAUUGUCCGGGCCAGAGCCCGAGUCCGCGUCAGAGCCAGAGUCAGAGCCUGGCUGUGUCCUGUCCUGCUCUGGGGCGAAAAACAUUGAAAUCCAGCAAAUCCACCCGUCUUAGUUCUAAUUCUUUUCACAGUCCAGCGCAACCCCUUGACAUGGCAGGGGAUUUGGGAGGAAGGCAGAAAGGGGAAAGGGGCGACUAGCCGUGCUCCAUGUCAUUCAAUUUGCAUUUGCAUGAGCAGACCUUGAAGCCCAGCUGGACCUUUUCCAUUGGAAAGAUAGCGGCUAUCGGCUGGGACUCUCGCCUGGCCAUGACUUGACCUACCCCCAAAGAUCAUCAUCGGAAUCGAGGCAUGCGCACUGAUCUGCCACUCUGCGAGAUGCCUCCCCCAAAAGCGGUUUUCCCAGCUGACCAGCUGUUGACCCACUGAGUAGCUGGCGGCCAUAUUUACAGAAUGGGGAUGGUGUUGGGGAUCUAUGGGAGGGCGGAUUUGAUGCCAAAGGGUGGCAUUGGAAACUCAUAAAAAAAGCAUAAAUUGCAAAUCUGCAUUAACUGACAAGAAAACGAAAUUCUUUACAUUCUUAGAUAAAGCUGCUAUAUACAUAUACUCCUGAUUCAUUGAAACAAAGAUAUUGAGCAAGGAGGACCCUGAGCAAGCCAUCGACCGAAGGAGGAGCAUCAGCUGGAGUAGCCAUCCGAGCCAGAGGAGGACAUGGUGGAGCCUCCUGUGAAUGAGAAAUCUUUCGUUGAUUCUGCAAACAGAAUAAAUUGGAUAAUUAUCUCUAUGUAUCUUUACUUGUAGAUUACAAAUCUGCAGGGUAUUCGAACGUCUGUCAACCCCAUGCUGAUGUCGGUGGUGUUUCCUUUUAGUUGUUUUCAACAGUCUGGCUUCGUCUAGUUGUCCGAGGUCCUAUGUCCAGUGUCCGAAGUCCGAUGUCCUGCUGCUGUGUCCCUGUGUGUUGUAUGUGUCACUUGGGUUAACUGUGCUACACACGGCACCGUGAAAUGGGUACUACAACCUCAUGCUGUCCUUCUCCCUGUCCAUGUCCAUGGCCAAAGCCAAGUCCAAGUCCAGCUGCUAACAUGUGACGAUGGCAAUUUGCAUUUCAGCGGGAUGCAGAGAGCGCCACUCUGCGGAGGAGGAGGCAGCCAGAGUGGGGGCCGGGCUGUCAGGACACACAGACAGCGCCAAGUAAUCCCCCAAAGAGAACAUUUAACAUACGGACUUCCAGAACCAGAGACAUGCAAAGUGAUUGAGUGGGGACUGGGACUGUAAUCGGAACAUGUGUAGAGAUAUUUAUUUAACAAACAUUGCGAAAUAUCAAGAGCGAUACCAGAGGCACGCAGUGGCAGUGGCAGAAAAGGAAAGGAAGGGCAAACAGGCGAAGGACAUCGAAGGGAAGGCACAACGACAAUCGAAAUGCGAAUGGAAAUGGAGAUGGGCGAAACACGAUGGCAAAUCAAAGGUGAAAAGAUGUGAAAAGCAAACGGAACGUGCACCGGGAGCAUUUAACCCACACCCCAGCUUCGAGCAGAGCCCGGGCACUGGCCCGGACCCAGACCCGGACCCGCGACCGUACCCAUUUCCAUUCCCAUAGCCAUAACUCCUCCCGGAGCCGGGAGUAAGCCGCUGUUGGGACACACAUGACGUAUUGGCACGAGUCCCUGAGAAGCGAGUUGCGAGGUCGCAGGAGCUCUGUUCUGUGUGCUCUACCGGCUCCGGCUCCGGGGCACUUGAAAGCCCGGGCGUAUCUUGAUUGUUUGCAUGUAAAUCUGCACAAAAUCCCCAAAGUACCCAAGUACCUAGAGUAUCCAAAGGAAGAGGAGACAGAGAGAGAGAGACAGAGAGAAAGUCCUUGUCGACUGCCACCGCCAUCGCCACCACCUCCGCUAUCCAUCCGACAACUGGCUCUAUGGAUGGCGCGGUCCCCGUAUCGUUACCCUGAUGGAGCGCUCACCAUCACCAUCAUCGUCAUGAUGGCCUUGGCGCAUCGCUUCCCAUCGCUCUGCAUCGCUCAGCAUCUCACGGCAUCGGCAUCGGCAUCGGCAUCGGCAUCGUGGCAAUCCCUUGCACAAUUGAACCGAGUCCUGUGUGGGCGAGUUACCUGCUUGCGCCCCUUUGGCCAGGCAACGAUCUGUGCUGACUCUGGGAAUACCCUGCAGACUCUGCAGAUAUUUACAUAUAUUUGGUAGCUAUAUACAUACAUGUACGACAUAUUUUAUACUAUAUCACGCCACCAUUAAAAUCGUAUAGGACCCUUAUAUUCGCCCAUCUGAGUAGCGCCAUUUGGUGUUCCACAUGGCGGAACCAUCACACAG